This 584-nucleotide long non-coding RNA is filed under the name Phaseolus vulgaris (common bean). RNAcentral's name for it is "long non-coding RNA (PVUL_LNC000574)". Lineage: Eukaryota; Viridiplantae; Streptophyta; Magnoliopsida; Fabales; Fabaceae. The record is from RNAcentral.
UUCCAUUCCUUAAUGCCGUCUUCUUCCUAGGUUUUUACACCAAUUUUAUGGUGAAAACAUCCUGCUCCUUCCAUAAAUGAAUGAAUAACAAGAGUCUGGUACACAGCUCCAUAAAUUUCAAUGAUAUAUCUUCAAGAUGAAAUAGUUCUGUAGCAUAUUAAUCAUGCAAAACUACAAAUUAGUGGCUAGAGGUUUGUGCCUUGUACUACUUAGUAUCUAGACUUCAAAAGGCAUGUUUAGAUCCUCAAGGUUCUCAACUGCAGAAGACGUCUAUGCUAAUUUUUCUGUUAAAAUUUCACAAACUCUGUCACGUGAUUAACUAUUGAUUAACAUGUCACCUUGUUGUUUUUAAUCAUGUGCAACUAAACCAUAUAUAACUUUAAAAUGGUGUAUGUAUUUCUUCUAAGUUGCACAUGAUUAGAACAUUUGUUAAUCAUGUUCUACUUUUAAAAGGGUGUAUAACUUUUUAUCAACAAGUGUGAUGUGCCAAACUUUUAAUCAUGAUUAAAAUGGUUAUAACUUUUAAUCAUGAUGAAGACAGAAAAACUAAGCACUAGAAGUACGCGAAACAGAAAAACUAUAGG